GAGAUGAUGCACAGUCCUGCUGGGGGGAGCACUGGAGCAAGCCCACGAGCUGGUGAUGGGCAGGGAAGGAGCAGACGCCAACAGGAUCAAAGUCCUGAGCCAGAAAGAGGACUUUGGUUUUUACUGCUUGGGUGCAGCACGGCCCCCACUGAUGCCGUUCUCUCCUCCCAGCGCUCGGAGGUGGUGAAAUCAUCCCUGACUGUUCAGAAGAGCGUCUUGGUGUCCUCGGAGGGGGUGGCCAGCAAGCGCAACAUCUUUGAGGGAGGUUCUCCCAGCAAGGCUGAGCCGCUGGCUGCCAGGAAGGACAACCUGAAGAUCCCGGGAUCAGUGACAUCCCGCAUUAAUCUGUGGAUCAGCCGAGCUCAGGAGCCUGCCAAGGAGGAAAAGAGCAAGGACAUCAGGAGAAUAAACAGCCUACCAAAACGUGAUGUGUGGGUAAAGCAACCUGGAGACACCCCUGGAGACACCAAGGUAGACAUGGAGCUGCUCUGAAAAGUGGUGCACUCUCUGAGGGGGACGAGCUAGGGGCAGAGCUGGGACCUCCCUGCUGGUGGCGGUCAACCAGGCUAUGGGGUGAGAAGGGUCAUGUGGGCCAUUCAGGACUCCCCAUUGGGGGACUGAGCAGGAGGUGACAACUGGAGGCAGCUGUAAGGGUGAGAAGGGGUCUGGGUUGGGAGAGGAAGGGAAGGGCCAUAUGGUGGGAUUUAGGGGAUGUCUGUCUGCCCCAUUCCCUGUUUGAGCCAAAGCAGCUGCCUUUUGGGGGGGCUGCAGCCUCAGGCCCAGCCUCACUGUUUCUCACUUUCUUUUCCAGUUGUAAUGGUGUCAGUUGCAAUAAUAUCAGAUGAUCUGGGAAAAACUGUUUGGCUCUGAAGAUCAAAGCCCAGCCCCACCCAACCGUCCAGCAGCCCAUGGCCACAAGAGUCCCCCGGGCCGUGUGUGGGUCCCAGAUCGCCCCUGCUUGUGGGAUGGGAAGGAAGAAGGCUGGAAGAUUAUCCCUGCACCCCGAGUCCUCACUCACUGCCUCUCUGGGAGUGCCCGGGCCUGGAGGCUCCUUGCCAAUGCUGAGGGCAGACUCUUGCUUCGUUUCCCAACAACAUUUUGGUGUUUUGCCCCCAAUCUCUGCCUGUGCCCCAUAACUGCGCUUGGAAAAGGGAUCAACCUAUACGUCUCUCUUGCAGCUGGAUGAUGUCAGUGGGACAAGAAGCUGCCUGCACAAGGAAGUUUCAGCUUCCUGUCCAUGGACCACAUCCAUCCCUGCUGCCCGGCUCAUGUGGGGUGAGGUGGGGCAGGCAGAUGUCACCCCACCUCCCAGGUUGUCACUGCUGGAGGGACCCAACCAAAGGCAAAUGGUGUUUACAGUCACAGGUGCGCCGGUGUAGCUUGGAGAUGUGUCAUGGAAGAUGGGAGGACCUGAUGGCCCUGGUGUUUCCCUCCAGCACGCAGCUGAGCUAGAGCCAGAGACUUGGCCUUCUCCAUGCUGCCCUUAACAUUCCCCACCACCUACAAGCAGUGACCCCUUUCACUUAGUGAUACGGGAAGGGCUGGCCAUGGCCCUAUUUUUGGGGUUGCAUGGAGCUGAGUGCCCUGUGCUGGACCCCCACUGAAAACCCCAUUUCCUUCUCUCUUUUCCUCCCAAGCCCUUUGCCCAUGGCUGCACAGACCCCUGGUCCUGCAUGCCCCGGGCUGCUGAGCCCACCUGGCAGGGAAGCAGGGUGCUCUCUUGAGGCCAGCUUUAGGGAGCCAUGGGCAGCCCAUAAAAUGAUGCUCAAACCCUUGUGCUGGGGCCAUUCAAUGGGCUGGGGCUGUGCCUUGAGCAACCACCGCGGUGUCCAAAUUCGGUGUGCGACUGCUGCUGCCCUGGAUCUGCUCUUGCUUCUUGGGCUUUGGAAAGGACUUGGUUUUCUCUGUGCUUUUUUUUUUUUUUUUUCUAAUAAAAGUUGCUCCUUCUAAGAUGCUCCUGGUCA
Molecule: long non-coding RNA, 1964 nt
Filed under: Calidris pygmaea (Spoon-billed sandpiper)
Lineage: Eukaryota; Metazoa; Chordata; Aves; Charadriiformes; Scolopacidae
Description: lncRNA (ENSCPGG00000011674.1)
Source: RNAcentral